RNAcentral lists this ribosomal RNA (567 nucleotides) under uncultured bacterium. RNAcentral describes it as "partial 16S ribosomal RNA". It matches the Rfam family "Bacterial small subunit ribosomal RNA", at positions 355 to 1375 of the family's 1533-position model. The record is from RNAcentral.
UGGGGAAUAUUGCACAAUGGGCGAAAGCCUGAUGCAGCAACGCCGCGUGAGGGACGACGGCCUUCGGGUUGUAAACCUCUUUUAGCAAGGAAGAAGCGAAAGUGACGGUACUUGCAGAAAAAGCGCCGGCUAACUACGUGCCAGCAGCCGCGGUAAUACGUAGGGCGCAAGCGUUAUCCGGAAUUAUUGGGCGUAAAGAGCUCGUAGGCGGUUUGUCGCGUCUGCUGUGAAAACCCGAGGCUCAACCUCGGGCCUGCAGUGGGUACGGGCAGACCAGGGUGCGGUAGGGGAGAUUGGAACUCCUGGUGUAGCGGUGGAAUGCGCAGAUAUCAGGAAGAACACCGAUGGCGAAGGCAGAUCUCUGGGCCGUAACUGACGCUGAGGAGCGAAAGGGUGGGGAGCAAACAGGCUUAGAUACCCUGGUAGUCCACCCCGUAAACGUUGGGAACUAGUUGUGGGUCCAUUCCACGGAUUCCGUGACGCAGCUAACGCAUUAAGUUCCCCGCCUGGGGAGUACGGCCGCAAGGCUAAAACUCAAAUGAAUUGACGGGGUCAUAGCUGUUUCCU